AAAAAAAAAACAAAAAACUUGCUAUACCGCUUCUGUUUUCGUUCUUGGAACAGAUUAGUUUCUUUUGAGAAAAGUCAAACUCAUUCCCAUUACUUUCUUUUCAAUAAUCACCUCUCAGUUUUACAUCAGUCACUCAAUUUCGAAUUUCAUCUCCAUUCUCUUUCAAAGAAGAACACACGAAGAAUUUUAGCUUGCUUUACCUGCUUCUCAAAUUUCAGGUAUUGUUUCCUUUAAUUUUGAUUUUUUUUUUUUACCUCUCUGUUUCUAGUUUGAUAAUUUAGGGUUAUACUUGAAUUAAUUGUAUUUUUAAUCAUCCUAGGUUGAUUUAAUUGAUUCCAAGUCUCAAUUUCCUGUUCAACAAACAAGGAACGCACGAGUAAUUUUCAUUUUCAUUCUCAAUUUUGAAAGAAUCAAUUUAUUUUAUGUGUUCAAUUUUUGUUUAUUUAACUUAGGAUAUCUUUUUCAUUCUUUUCUUCAAGCAGAUUAUAGCGUUGCUCCUCCCAUUGAUCAUAUUGAGAACAGUGCUUUCUCCUUAAUUCCGCCAAGAACAACUUUGAUUUCAGGUGAUAAUUGAAUGUGUAAUAUUUUCAAUUGAAAUUAAUUGAGUCUCGUAAUAAUAAUAGUGAUUUGAGAUUUACAUCCUGUUGAAAUGAUUUUAGAGUGUUCUGCUAUUUGAAUGCGCAUUAAUUGUUUGAUUAAAUGUCUCUUUAAAAGAUUAUUUUUGUUUUUUAGCAAACAUCUUACUGAGAUGCCUCUCGUAAUAGUAUUUACCGUAAUGCACUUUGCUUCAAUUUGGUCAGUUUACACAUUUUAACAAGGGAAAAUUACAGAACUGCAACAGUUUUCAAAUUGAUUGCAGAUUAGAAGCAACAUGUGGCAUUCAACAUUCCUGCAAUGCCAUUUCUUGUUAUGGCAGCGGCAUUCUUGGUCAUGGCAUCACAAGCAAAUGCUUUGACUUGAAGACUUGCUUGGCUAUGAAAAAUAAGGAGAGCAAAGGUAAUUAAUCUUGGUGUGAUCAAUAUUUUUAUGGGGGUACUAAGAAAAAUAAAGAUAAUAUAAGGAAUGUUGUUGAGGAGUAUUUUGAUAUUUACAAAAGUGUUUAAAGUAAAAAUUGAUUUCUUAAAACUCAUUAGCUAGGGCACAUAAUAAUGGGGAGUAAAUUUUAGACUACGAAUAAUCC
RNAcentral lists this long non-coding RNA (1180 nucleotides) under Citrus maxima (pomelo). Its description in RNAcentral is "long non-coding RNA (CMAX_LNC004145)". The record is from RNAcentral. Lineage: Eukaryota; Viridiplantae; Streptophyta; Magnoliopsida; Sapindales; Rutaceae.